CACUAGAAGAGAAAGACUUUUAGCAAUACCUGCCCAGUGCGAAAUAUUACUGUAAACGGCCGCCCUAGCGUGAGGGUGCUAAGGUAGCGAAAUUCCUUGCCUUUUGAUUGUAGGCCUGCAUGAAUGGUUUAACGAGGGUUUAACUGUCUCUUGAUUUAAAAUUGAAAUUGUACUGAAGGUGAAGAUACCUUCAUUAAAAAGUCAGACAAAAAGACCCCGUGCAACUUUGAAAAUUAACUUUAUUCAGAAGUGAAAGAUUUUUAGGUGGGGCGCCUAGAAAGUAAAUCUAACCUUUCUGAACAUUUAGUUCUUUCCGGACUUGACCCGAUUAUAUUCGAUCAUAGGAGAAGUUACGCCGGGGAUAACAGGCUAAUCCUUUAGUAGAGCUCGUAUUGGCUAAAGGGAUUGGCACCUCGAUGUUGAAUCAGGGAUGAUAGCUUCAAGGCGUAGAGGCUUUGAGAGUAGGUCUGUUCGACCUUUAAUACCCUACGUGAUCUGAGUUCAGACCCGG
Molecule: ribosomal RNA, 511 nt
Filed under: Magallana ariakensis (Suminoe oyster)
Lineage: Eukaryota; Metazoa; Mollusca; Bivalvia; Ostreida; Ostreidae
Description: partial 16S ribosomal RNA
Rfam family: Bacterial large subunit ribosomal RNA
Source: RNAcentral